This 427-nucleotide ribosomal RNA is filed under the name uncultured bacterium. Its description in RNAcentral is "partial 16S ribosomal RNA". It matches the Rfam family "Bacterial small subunit ribosomal RNA", at positions 354 to 796 of the family's 1533-position model. The record is from RNAcentral.
GUGAGGAAUCUUCCACAAUGGGCGAAAGCCUGAUGGAGCAACGCCGCGUGAAGGAUGAAGGUCUUCGGAUUGUAAACUUCUUUUAUGAGUGAAGAAUAUGACGGUAACUCAUGAAUAAGCACCGGCUAACUACGUGCCAGCAGCCGCGGUCAUACGUAGGGUGCAAGCAUUAUCCGGAGUGACUGGGCGUAAAGAGUUGCGUAGGCGGUUAUGUAAGCGAAUAGUGAAACCUGGUGGCUCAACCACACAGACUAUUAUUCGAACUGCAUAACUCGAGAAUGGUAGAGGUAACUGGAAUUUCUUGUGUAGGAGUGAAAUCCGUAGAUAUAAGAAGGAACACCAAUGGCGUAGGCAGGUUACUGGGCCAUUUCUGACGCUAAGGCACGAAAGCGUGGGGAGCGAACCGGAUUAGAAACCCUUGUAGUCC